Long non-coding RNA from Oxyura jamaicensis (ruddy duck), 192 nucleotides. RefSeq lists it as uncharacterized. Lineage: Eukaryota; Metazoa; Chordata; Aves; Anseriformes; Anatidae. The record is from RefSeq and is a predicted model, not a curated record. The transcript has 2 exons.
AGAUAACGGUAGAAUUAUAUAUAGUGACAGUCUGUCGCCAGGGAGGAAGACGUAUUUCCCAAGGAAGCUCUUGCUGGUACGUGUUAGGAUCAUGGAUGUACAAAUACUGAGCAGCCAGUUAAUUCCUAUGAGCUUCUGGGAGCAGGGGAGCUCUUCAGUGGAUUUGCAAAAUACCUGGCUUAGUGGGAAUGU